UUGGAACUACCCAAGAGUAAGGCAGAGCUGUUGGGCUCCAGACUACAGCAUGGAAUCUCCUGGCAGGUGAUCAGGAAAAUGGAGCCCAUCAAUGCUUGCAGA
Molecule: non-coding RNA, 102 nt
Organism: Chelonoidis abingdonii (Abingdon island giant tortoise)
Lineage: Eukaryota; Metazoa; Chordata; Testudines; Testudinidae
Source: RefSeq, a predicted model, not a curated record